Molecule: ribosomal RNA, 492 nt
Filed under: uncultured bacterium
Lineage: Bacteria
Description: bacterial SSU rRNA
Rfam family: Bacterial small subunit ribosomal RNA
Source: RNAcentral
GACGAACGCUGGCGGCGUGCUUAACACAUGCAAGUCGAACGGAACUCUUUGGAUCGAGACUUCGGUCAAGUGAAUCUGAGUUUAGUGGCGGACGGGUGAGUAACGCGUGAGGAACCUGCCUUUCAGAGGGGACGAACAGUUGGAACGACUGCUAAUACCGCAUAACGCAUAUUGAUCGCAUGGUCGAUAUGCCAAAGAUUUAUCGCUGAAAGAUGGCCUCGCGUCUGAUUAGCUAGUUGGUGAGGUAACGGCCCACCAAGGCGACGAUCAGUAGCCGGACUGAGAGGUUGACCGGCCACAUUGGGACUGAGAUACGGCCCAGACUCCUACGGGAGGCAGCAGUGGGGAAUAUUGGGCAAUGGGCGCAAGCCUGACCCAGCAACGCCGCGUGAAGGAAGAAGGCUUUCGGGUUGUAAACUUCUUUUGUCAGGGAAGAGUAGAAGACUGUACCUGGCGAAUAAGCCACGGCUAACUACGUGCCAGCAGCCGCGG